AUCCGCUCCCUUUCUGAGCUUGUUGAGAAAGGAAUGUUAUCUAAAGGAGCAGAGAGUUCAAUGUUAUAGCCUGCCCUCUUUAUCUGAAUAUCACGUCUACGACCCAACAAGUUGUCUUCCACAAAAGAAAGAAUAGAUGGACUGGGGCAUAUCGCACGAAAUUGUGCAUUCUUCGACAGUUCAACAUUUUUCGUUUUUGCUGAAUCUUCUUGCUUUUCCUUAUUGUUAUCUAUACUUGUUACUCCAUCAUCAAGCCUCUUAUUGGAGGUA
RNAcentral lists this unclassified non-coding RNA (270 nucleotides) under Hevea brasiliensis (rubber tree). The record is from RNAcentral. Lineage: Eukaryota; Viridiplantae; Streptophyta; Magnoliopsida; Malpighiales; Euphorbiaceae.